UAUCAAAAAGUAAAAACAUUGUCAGAACUCAGAAGUAAUCUUCUGCAGAAAACCCAGAGCAUGUACUUUGGAUCAAACUAUAUUAAAAUAGCACAGAACUCAUAGCACCUGACUCUACUAUUUAAUAUAUUAAAUAAAUUUUUGGUGACAGAGAAACAUUAAAAAAAUGACAUGUGGGAAUAUAAGAUAGGCAGUAGAAGGAUUUACUUUACCUGGAUUGUUUGGCGAUGUUGUUUGUAGACAUUUAUUUGAACCGUUGCUUUCUUCAGUUCUGAAUCAGUGCUCUUCACCACAUCAUAAUGCAAAUGCUCCUAGAAGUAAUGGGAAAUAAAAUGAUUUAUUUAUAAGCAUAUAGCAAAAGAAAAGAUAGAUCCUGAUAGGAAAAUAUUCUACUCUCCAGAAGCCAAUAGGAAAAAGAAACAAGUACAUAGUUUGAAUCUUCUUCAGGCUCAUAUAUAUCUAUGAUUCUUGAAAAGAAAAUAUUGAGCUGGAUCUACAAGUAUAAGUAAAUUCAGCAAUGUAAUCAGACGGAAAGAUUUGUUUCCUAAUUGCAACUCAAGAUAAUUCCGUUAACCUUCCCUAGAAACUAAGACGUGGCCAAGCCCUAACAUUCCUUUUUAUAUACAACAAGCCAAGUUUACCUAUCAAUAUAUAAACUACACGUGUAUGUGUUGCAGCAUAACGUUUCCAAUAUACAUUAUCAACAUACAAUCAUAUAUAUAGGUAUACAUACAGAACCUUGUAUUCCAAAGCAUUAAUUCCCUUGCAGACAAACUCAAAUAGAGUUUUGAGAUUUUCUGGGCUGGGAGCAGUUACAAAAAUAUUCGAAUACCUGAAGAAAAGAAAAGAAAAAGGGGGGGGGGGAAAGGAUCAACAAUAAUAGUAACGAGUAAAUUGCAUUUAAGAAAGCGAUUAGAGACCGCUAAGCUAAAAUCCAAAGCAACGAAAAAAAAAAAAAAGCAAAACGAAAGUUUUGCUUGAUUCAAGCAUAUAACCCUGCAACAACAGCUCCUGCAACAGCUAGACCCAGAGCAGCUGAUUUCCCACGCCCACGAGCAGCAAUUAAGGCAACAGUGUUCCGUAGUGUUCUAUCCAAAAUAGCUUCAAGAAAAUCAAUCACAGCUUUCCCCUGUACGUUAAAUUUAACCAGAUGCUCACUGAAGAAAAAUAUCUUGGAGGCAAAAGCAUUACGAGUUUAAUUAGGGCAAAGGUGGGAAAUAGCAGCACAAAAGAUGGGGCUCGAACCUGAUCCAAAGUGCAACACUUUCCAAUUAAAGGGCCAACUGGGAAAUCCUCACGGAAUUGUUCCUUUAGAUCCUUCAAUUCCCGCUCCCCUUCAGAUAACCCCUCAGGAUCCUUUACAAGAAGUGGAAGUGCAGACCAAGAUCAUUACAGAAACCUAAAGAAGCAACAAUGUUUGCCCUCCUAGCCUAGUUUCUGCUUUCAGCAGUAGCCACCUCUAGUAGAGAUUAAAGUGUUUGGUAAAUAGAAAAUUUUGGAGUUCCUACUAAAGUUGGGAGCAGAAAUGAGAUUCUAAGUCUCAAUAGCUGAAGCUCCAAUCUGGAUUUUCUACUUUUGAUGCAGAGAGAGGCUCUUAGGAGGAAUCUCAAUGAAAAAGGCUAUAAGUGCUUCUUCUAACAGUACUAGUUUAGAAGAACAAUAUAUAGGAGGCCAAACAGGCUGGUAGGUCACUAAGUGCUUUUUCAUAAUUCUUUAUCAAAAGAGCAUAUCAAAUUUUGCUCUAUGUUCUGCCGGAAAGAGAAAUAUGCAUGCAGUAAACUAAAUUGUGUAAUAAAAUUCCACAGAGAUGACCAUACCUCCAUGACUGAUACAGGUUUAAUUGAUCUUAUAUGGGAUGAUAUUGGUAAUAUGUUAAGCUCAUCAUCCAUUACAACACAGGCCUUGCAUGUCGCAAUAGAUAGUAAGAACCUCUCGUUAAACCUUGUAGCAGCCUGCGAAUGAGACUCUGUUCGAAACCUCUCAUGCACAUCCUGAAAUAAGUAUAUGAAACAUCAACAAGAAAUCAACAAGAAAGAGAAAGUUUUGUAGGUUAACAAAGAAAAAGAGAGAAUGGGGAAUUAUCUGAAGAUAAAGGAAAAAAAAACAAAAACAAAUUGGACAGUCAGAUAUGUUCAUAUGCAUGAAUUAUGAGAAUCAUGGGCCAUCGGGAAAAGAUAAUGCUCACAACGCUUAAAACAUUAGAGUAGGAGGUUUAGAUAAAUCUAAGAGAAGCAAAGUUAUGUGGCUGAAAAUAAAGAAAACUGAUCACUAGGAUAAAACUUUAUAUUGAAAUAUAAAGAAAGCUGGUCAUUUGAACAAAACUUUUAUAUUACAAGUAUUUGUCAAAUAAAAAAGCCAACAUUGUGUAGAGCUCUACAUAAAAGCUUUAGGAUUCAUGUCUAGUUAAUAAUAUUAACUCUUUUUAUUUUCUUUUGCUGAAUUAAGAUCUCAUUAAUCCAAUAAAAUAAGUGAAACCCGUUACAAAUUUUACAAAAAGACUACAUCUUAAAAACGAGGCUACUAUCAAGUAUCAACUCUCUUUUCACAAAACGACUACCCUAAAAGUCAUUGGAUGAAGAAAGCCUACCAUGACCAUGGUGUACAGACUAGUAAGAGAAGAAAGAGAACGAAGCAAGAGCACUAUCAAACCACCACCCUCGACAGUCUCAAUAGUUCUUGCUAGGAGAUUGGGUGUCAAUGCCUCAAAGUCCUACAAAGGAGCAUGGAGUUCACGUUAAUGGGGGGAAAAAACAACAAAGGUAGAUUGUAGACUGACAACUGGAAUCAAAUAUAAAUGACAACCUGGAGGAUGCACAUGCCAAAUGUAUUUCCAAGAAUUCUCUCUGAUUCUCUAUACAAGCAAUAUUUUAUAUCAGCAGUUUCCAGAAAAAGGGAAAAGGGAUCUGCUUUUUCAGGGUCCAUCAGUCCUCGCUGCAUCAGCUUCUUUAUCUGCUUUGCUCGUUUCUUCUUGUGACUAAUCAAGAUUUAUCAGUAGAGUUAGGAAAAUAUGAUGAUAUAAGAAACCAGAUUAAAAGAGAAAACAACUCGAUAUCCUGCCAAAUAAGCACCUGCUCACCAAAAGGAGCAAAAUUAACUUCACAACCUGCCAGGACUAGUUCACCUGGGAUCACGAUUGCAAAUUCCAAUGUGCACUUCCCGUGUCCUUAACGCAUUUGAUGUAUUUGUGAGUUUCAGUUCCAUUAAAUUCAAGAUAAGCAGUUAAUUAUUUUGCCACACACAGGAUCAAAUCCAAUUUGGAACUUUGUUGGAUUAGAACUGGAGAGAGAGAGAGAGAGAGAGAGAGAGAGAGAGAGAGAGAGAGUCCCAACCCAUCGCAGAGCCAGAUCGAACUCAAUAUAAUCAUUAUUGAAGUUAAAUAACAUAUAUUAUAAAUUCCUAUAGGCUAAAUAUAAGAAUAUUUCACACCUAAACUAACUAAUAUCCUUGAUUCACCUUCUUCAGUGUCCUGCUAGGAGAUAUAUCAGGUCCACUUGGUUAGAGUGGAACACAAUGCUGAGUUUCCAAACAAAAAUAUAAACUUCCAAUUGCACUGGAAGCACACAUAAUUGACACUUAAGGGCCCAUAUUGCUCGGGUUAGUAGCAUCAUACACCAGGUCAAAGUGCAAGGCUAUGAGCUAAACUAAACUAUCUAAUAACAGCCACAUUUUCCAUCAAACUGUCUACUUGAAAAUUUGGCUAUUGCAUUCAAGGGAAGACAUUGUAAAAAAGGCUCGUAUAAGAACAGUAUCCUAGAAAGUAGGAACAAUUCUUUUGCAUUAAAAUUAAGAACAAGAACCUGCUGAUCUCAAGCUUCUCCUUAUAGCACCAUAGUACUGUAGGGCGAGAUUUUACAACCGCCUUGCUGCGCAUGUAGUUGAGAUUCACAAUCUGUCACCAUUAAAAUGUCCAAUUAGCUCAAAAAGUGUAAUAGAAAGUAAACAGUAUUACUGAAUCACGCCUCACACACACAUCAGUAAUGAAAAAAAUUAAAAAAUAUAUUUUUAACAGAUAAACUACUUUGAUUUAACUAGUAAGUUAAUCGGGGCCGCUUAACAAUUAAACUCAUUUAAUAAUUGAUAAUUCGAACGUAGCAAAGUUCAACUGUUCUUCAUCGCGGCCAUCUCGGAACUCGCCCAUUAAUGCAAAGACAAUCAGCAUGUACAAUCCAUUAAUCGGUGUUGCUUACAGAAGAAUACACUCUCAGUUUCUAAUACAUUAAUGGUGCGAGGGAGCCAAAAAUCGAAUUUUCGGGGCCUAUACGGAUGCUCCUUAGUGAAGAAAUUGCGAGGAUGAGGAGGAGACCUGGUCGCGGGACUUGUCGCCGACGAUGAUGAACAUGGAGCGGUGCCUGAGCUUGACGCCAUUCUCGAUUAGGGUUCGGAUGCGAUCGUCCACCUUCUUCCUCAUCGUCCCAGGCGAGCUCGGGCGCGGUCAGUCGAAGUAGCGGGCGGAGGAAGGACUUCGCAGCGGCGGCGGCGGCGGCGGCGGCGGAGGAGGAGAAAGAGGAGGAGGUGGAGGAGGAAGGGAAUAAUGGCGACAGGCGAAGAGGUUUAAGGAGGAAGAAGACGAGGGUUUUGGUCCUUGAGUACAAUGAGGGGAAAGGCUUCGUUCCAAUGGGCCCAUAUUUUGUGGGCUCGCGGGUGCGAUACGUGCCAGAUCUAUCUGCCGGUCCUGAUUACUGAACUACGGCCUAAUAGGCCUAAAUACGGCCUAGAAGUGACCUGGGGUGACGAUCGCCGAGCCCAACCGUCUCUGACCUUAUCCGACGUGAUCGUGAGUGCCAUAGGGCCUAAUCUAUCCAAUGGGCCGAAUACUGAACUGGAGUCCAAUGGGCCCAAAAUCUGCCCACCUCUCAUUAUUUAGCGAGGCUACAAUUUUGGAGAGGGCAAGCCCCUGUGCACCCCGUUCGCCAGGUCAGCCGUGGACCUUUUUUUUUAAUUAAUACUUUAAUUCGACGUUCAAGAAUGAAAUUAACACCAAGGUCAAGCUUAGAGAUCAAAACUGAAAUCUAGACCAUACUACUGAGUUUACAUUGAAAUUCUAAGAACGAACUUGAAACUGCGGCGAUCGUUGGGGCGACAUUGAAUCUAAGUCAAAUUCUGGGGAGAAAUCUCUAAUUAGCCCUUUUUUAUCUCAAAUUUUGGGGUCAAAACUGUUUAAUAUAAUCUGCCAUGCUGUGAGAUGGUGUUGACGGAUUGGUAGGGACAUUGAAAUAGUCAAAUUCUGAGGAGAGAUCUCUAAUUAACCCUUUUUUAUGUCAAAUUUUGGGAGCAAAACUGUUUGAUUUAAUCUGAGUCAAAUUCUGAUGUUUAAAUAUAAUAUGCCGUGAGAAGGUGUUGACGGAUUGAUAGGGAAUCAGAUAUAGGCGUGGUCAGAUUAUUUAGGGAAUCGGAUAUAGCCGCGGUUAGAUUACUUUAGGAUUUCUGAGAUGAAGUGGCCUGAGGUCCAAAAGUGAAUAACGUCGUAGUUGGCCCCAACUGUAUAUAUAUACAUAUGAAAACAAUAAAAAUUUUAAAAAAGGGAAGUAAAAAAAGAAUGACGAGUUAUUUCUCCCGAGGAAGAUGGAGCACAAUAUUUAAGAGUGACUCCGCGUAGCUACCCAACAUAUGAAAAUGAACCCAAAAUAAAAAAUAAAAAAAAAGAAGAGUUUCUAAAGAUAAAUAAUAGAUCGAGGUGUGAUGUCCAUUAGACUUGCCAAAUCACUAACGGAGACGGUACGCGGAAGGGAGUUCCCGUGAUCGUCGAGCAACUGUAGAUCAUAAUAUUAUCACUGUGGUUCAAACAUAAAAUGGACGUACAGAAAUCUGAACAGCAACGAGACGAGUAAUCAACUAUCGUGAACUUUACAAAUAGCUACAUAUACGAAUUACUGAAAAAUUGAAUAUUCACUGAGCACUCUACAAACAUAAUGCAUGUUCAACCAGAGUUAAAAAGGUGCCUCUAAUCACUGUCGAUUCGAGCGAAGUAAACGAAAAUGAGCAGCGAAGGAAUCAUAGUCCGGUAGUUUAGGGUGAAUAUGAGAAGCACUACUCGAAGUUGAGGAAGCUUCCGCCGAUGCUGAUCCUGCGGUAAUGGUUGCGGUUGUUGCAUCAUUCUCAUCUUCUACAAGACGAGCUUGAUUACUGCCAAGUGCUGAUGACUUUGAAGCUUCCUUGAAUGAUGGAGAUGCCGACUCCAAAGGUUUUGUAGAAGGUUGUUGAAUCAACAAAUCCGACCGCAUAGAUAUUUCUUCACCAUCUAAAAUUUUCUCAGGUGUUGCACCUGGAAAAGGCUCACGAUUUCUCCACUUCCUGCGCGUACUUUCCACUUGCUUAUUAAUUUCUUUACUAGGUUCGGUGUGAGUUUUAGAAAUACCACCUUUUGUGCCCUCUGAUGUUGUGCCUUUUGUCCUUCUUGAAAGCUUUAUAUCUCCACUUCCUCUUCUUCCAAUGUCUUGGACUGGCUCCAAAUCCUCUACCUCGUUACCACCGAAAUCAAAAUAAUUUACUGGCCUUCUUGAUUUCGAUUCUUUGGAUUCUGUUUGGCCUGGUUUGCUAUCAUGCAGCUCAUGCCCAGAAUCUGCAGCGCUCAAAAAGCUCUUAGUUGAUGAUUUCCAAGCAGUAGGAGAAAUAUCUGGUGUUUCUUUUAUUGGAGUAGAAGCUCUUUCUCUGUAAUUUCUUCUCGAAGUAGGCAGCAGCUUUUCUCUACUAUCUGGACCAAAGUAUGUUUGGGAAGAUUCUAAACUUGAUCCUUCUUCAUAUGACUCUUCAAUAUUCUUGAAAGCCUCAUCGGACGAUUGCUUGGAGGGCACAGACAUAUCUUGCAUGGGUUUCCUCGUGUAAGGUGCAUGCUGGUAACCUCUAUUUUUGAGCCCACCUGUUAAUUUUCCAAGGUCCAAACCCUUUUCACUUUCAUAGUCAUUAUCAGCAAUCUCAGGGUGUUUAGAAGUCGAUGGCAAUUGUUUCUUUGCUCCUCUUUCUUCCAUGGAUAAAACUUCAGAUGAUUGCCACAAUUCUGUAUCAUCCAAGUUACUCAGAAGCUUGUCAUUUCUAUAAGAUUGCUCGUCAUUCGGCCGAGUCAAAGAAGAUGUCUUCCCAUAUGUAUCUGCAAUGCUUGAUUCAGCUUCUUUCUUUGUCUCUUUAACAUCAGAGACAAAAGAUGGAGAACUCCUCUUAUCUUCUUUAUCUUCUUGAUGGUCGCCAGAAUGACCAGAAACACCCAAAUAAGAGUCUUUCCUUAAGACACUCUGCUUAUGCAGCAUAGAUUCAUGAAUUUCAUCCUCGUUAUCGGAGCUGAAACCAUCCGAGUCAAAAGAUGGUGGCAGAUCAUCAUCUAAACGUGGCGGGGUUGAAUUUGUUUUCAUCUCUUUUGCUUUGUCUUCCAGGUAGGGUCCACUCACAGGAGGGGAGAAGGGACUUCCACUACCCCAGUGUCCACUCUUUUGCUCCUUAGAACCCCAAAUAUUAUUAGGCGAGAAAAUAGAAUUCUCACCAAAUUUAGAUGAUUCUUCCCUUUUGCGUAGCGAAUUGUCUCUGCUUUUAUUACCAAACACCAUAGGAUCUUCAGUAUCAGAACCAUAUCGAUCAAAAACUGCAGUAGAAGAAUCAGCAAAUGUUGUAUUAUCAAAAUGCUCAUCCCAAAUGGUCUCCUUGUAGAUCGUAGAUGUAUCAUUACCAGAAGAAAGCGACUUGCUAUAGUUAUUCGUGUUGUUAUUUCCCUUCUUGUGAUCAUUAACUGUGAAUUCCAUCUCUGAGAAUCUUUUCUCAGAAUUAUCAUAGGUCCUGACAUCUGUCUUUUCAAUUGUGUUCCUCAGUUCAUCAUGAUCAUCCUCCAUUGAUGAGACGCUGGAAUGGGAUGGAGAUGGAGACAGUCGACGUGAUGUAGUAUCCAUACUGGAAGAAUCAACAGAAGUGCUUUUCGCUUCUUUAUUUAAGCUAGUUUGAGAUGCUUGUGGAUACGUUCUCAUCCUAUCAGAGCUGCUUCUAUCUGGUGAAUGUACAGACUGCUUAUCAAUAUCUUCAACUUGACCUUUGCUGGGUCUGUAUUUGAAACUGUUAUUUGAUGAUUUAGAUUCAGCGGAAUUCUGUCUAGCAAGUUCAGCAGCAGCCCUAGCAGCGAAGCUAGCUCUUUCUGCAGACUCUGCUGCUGCCUGAGCAGCAGAGGCCGCAUCCUUGAAUUCAAUUUUCCAAUUUGUCUUAUUAAAAGAAGCUUUGUUUUCCUUCGAAUGCGGAGGUUCAACUUCUUCCGUUACACCCUUAGGUUCUGUUAACAGACGUCAAAAUUGUCCGUUAAAAAAAGGAAAAAUCUUACUAAGAAAGUGAAGAAAAUGAGAGGGCUAAUUGAAUUUACCCAUAUCAGAUGUUUCUGAAUAAGAUUGAGAACUAAGAGGUACCGAAGUUUGAGGAGAAUCGGCAAUUUUCUUGUUAGAAAGCAUACUAUGACUGCUUGUCUCGUUGACAAUUACAUGUUCAGACAUUCUCUUGAUUGGUUCAUCCUUGGGCAGGGCAGAGGGUGGCUUAAGAUCAAAGGAUUGCCCAAAAUGAACAUUGGCACUUAUAAAAGUUGUAGGGCCAUCCUAAUCAAUCAUGUAAAUAAAGAAUUUAUAUGCUAUUAGUAGCAAGACAAUAGCCAUGUAAUGACAAACAAGAUCUAAUCUGUCAUCUAUCAAAAAGACCAAAAAAAAGAGAAAGAAAAAUCUAAACCAUAAACUUUACCAGUCGAUCAUCAAUUGGUUGUUGAAUUUGCUCCUCAAUUACUUUCGGUUCCCACUUGACAUUAUGCUCUUCAGCUACUGCAGUCAAUAUUUUGAGUUUGGUCUCUAUAUCAGGUGCUCUAGCUGACAAUUUCUCGACGACCUAUAUGUUGAAGAUGUCAAAAAAAUUUCAGAAAUCUGAAAUGUAUUCAAAUUAUUCUCCAUGCCACAUAAAUAAAUCUUUUUCCCUGACUAAAGGAAGAAGACUGGGAAACUGAAUAAGAAACUAACAAGAUGGCUAACACCGCAUUGUGGUCGAACUUCAAGAGCUGCAGUAACAAAUUCUUUGCCAUACUUCGCUGAAAAAUGCUUGCGGAUAUCCAUCAAUUCUGGUACAUCUGCACAUCUUGGUGAUGCAAAUACUAUACUAGCUAUUGCUUCUUUCAGAUCAAUUGGACAGUUCCUAUAAAGCCAAAAGAAAAAAAAAAAAGGGAAAAGAAAUAUUUUUAGAAGGUGAAACCAUGUCAAACAUGAUUUCAAAGAGCAGAAAACGUAAUGAGAAGAAUGUAAUGAGAACACUAAAGAAAAAAAACAUCAAUAAAAGACCGUGCCAUAUGACCAACUACACCAACAACAUUCAAGUGGACAGAAAAAGAAGCAACUGUUUGCUUGAAAGGCAAAUGAGAGUGACACCCCACUUCCCAAGGAGUCACCCAUCCUAGGACUACUCUAACCCUAGCACACUUAACUCUUUUAACCUCUUGGGCCUAGACACCGCUCAAAUUACUAUAGCUGGGUUAAGAAGUUUAGCCCUAUUAUAUUUCAUAUAUAGGACUACCGAGGUUUCACAAUGAGAAUAAGCGUAACUUCAUGAGUAGGGCCUUUACAGUAUUCUGCUAAAUAAACAAAUCCAAUAUAGAUUAUACUAAACAAUCAAUUGCUUCCUGAAGUUCUAUUUGAUUUUGGAACAACAAUGCCUGAUGUUAAUUUUUUUCUAAAUCUCCAUUACUUUUCAUUGUUUUAAGUAAAAGAGAAUUUGCUCCUAUAUACAUGAUGCGUCGCAUUAAUGUACUCCAAUAUACCCAAAAAUAAACAUAAUAGAGAGAGUAGAGUUUGGCAAUAGCAUUUGAAAUAACUGCAAGAAAACAAUGAAGAUUAGGUAUCACCAUACUUCUGUGACUCGAUCAUCGGCAUGCGCGCCAUGAUAAGUUCACAGUAUACUGAAAUCAGAUCAUAUGCUGACAUUGUCUUCUCUUCCCUGAUGACAUGUUCAACCUGCAAACACAGUAGAACAAAAUUAAACAAAUGUUGAGUGCAACAGACUUCAUUUGGUCAAGGCUUAGAAUUGCAACCGAUAAUUAAAAUCACAUUCCCUUUUUGUUGAUAACCAAUUAAUGAUAAUCUACUUAAUGCAUCAUGCAUGGAACUUGCUGGCCAAACACAAUGGGGGAAAGCAUAACAAUAUCCACUAGAAUAAUCACUACAUCAGCUGGGCACAAGUUAGGGCACAUGUUAGGGCUCACAUACGUGCCAAGGUAGGCCAAAAUGGUGAGGCAAACUAGACUUCAAAUGAAAAACAGCAACUACUCAUCUAAUUCAAAAAAAGAAAAGGGAGAAGAAAAAAUGGUUUGGGAUUCUAAAAUAAAACUAACAGAAAAUUAUUUAUUUCAGUUAUCCAUUAAACAGAAAAGGUCCUUCAGUAAUACUAAAAAAAACAAAUGAAGAUCUACAUUAAUAAGGUCAGCUCUUGAAAGGUAAGCAUAUUUGGAAAAAGAAGCAAAGUCCAUCAAACCAAUGAACACAAUAUGCUAAUAUUUAUGAACAAAAAUAAGUCCAAAAACAAGGAGACAGGUGGAAAAAUAGAAUUCAAAUAAAGAAAGAGCGAAAGAGAUAAAUAGUAAUAAAACUGAAAGUUGCUUUCUCUUUGUCCAACAACAAGAGCCAAUAUAUGAUCAUAACUUUGGCCAGCAAAAAGCUACAAUUAACACCAAGAAACUUUUUCGUCCCAAGAAAAAAAAAAAACCCAUCAAAGAACUUCAGUCCUUCAGAAGUCCUAAAGUAAAGAAUUUAAGAAUUGUGUGUUAAGCUGGUCAAUAUACCUAAAAGACCACUGAUUAGGACAAUAAAUAAGCAAACACCAUACUGUUCGCAUGAUUUAACUUCAAAAUAAGAAGAAACUGCCAUAAUGACUAGAACAUAGAAGUUGUAACUUAAGUUCAACAGCACACCCUCUGAUUAUUAACCUUAUAUGCUUUUCAACAAUAUAAUCAAGCAAUUGAUAUCUGCCAGAUGGCAAAGAUCCAAUUCAGUUGCUUUUCAGUUUUCAGUGAUUGUUUUUCUCAUACCUACGUUCUAUCAUUAGGUCGCAACUUAAGAAUAGAUGCAAGAAUAUGGCUAAAUACAUAAAUAUUUUGUAAAUGGUUGGCAAUUCAGAGGAUAGACAAGGUAAACCAGACCACCAAUAAUCUUUCUAAAAAAACGAGAGCGAUAAAUGAGUACACAAUACAAGAACAACAAAGACAACAUCAAGGACGCACAGCAUCCAACUUACAGGAGUAUGUAAUUUAACACAAUUUCUGCCAACCUAACAGCUCCCAACUAACUGCAUCUCAUUCUAUCAAUAAAUAUCCUGUAGCUACCCACUAACGAAGAUUCUGUUUGCGUAGUUAACCACUAACCUUGCUUGUUGGAUUAAAAUAAGCAUGUUCCGUGUCCUCAAAAAAAGAUGAUUUCAAGCAGAUUCCUAAUUUACAAGGAACGCAGAGUCGGUGCCCCCAAGGAACAGUUCUUGAAAUUGUAAGAAUCGAAUUACUUCCUUUGCAUUAAUAUUGGUGGAAUUAAGAAGACUAAAUGAAGCCCAAAAACAAAAAACUCGAGAUACAAUCUGAUCAGGGGAAAAAACUCUUAAAUCGGAAAUUUCCAACUAACCAUCGAAGAACUUCAAGUACAGAGUAAUACAGAUGGUCAAUCAGAUUAGGAUAUAUCCUAAAAAUGUAAAAAAUGAUGAUGGGGAGAAUGUAAAGCUUCACAACGUGACGACAUAUACAAUCUCACUAAAAAAAUUUAAAAAAAAUACUGAAGAAAACAUAUAAAUACCAUAAAAAAAUUACUAAGUAAGAUAUCAACAAAGAUCUAGUAUAACUCCCGCACAACAUAAUCAAAUGUUCAAUACGACAAAUAAUCCCAUUAUGUAUAAGGAAUGAAAUAAAAACGAACCCUGAUCCGCGCGGUUUGAUCUUGGCCCGUCUCCAGAAGCUGCGCCAACUCCCGCCUCAUCUGCUUGAUCUGCACCUCUCUCUUGUUCCUCAGAAGCUUUAAACGGGCCACCGCAAGCCUCAGCGACGUCUUGCUGUCGCCAGAUCAACUCAAAAAUUAACCAAAAACUCCAACAAAAAUCGAGGAAACAGGACGCAAAAAUCAGUAAAAUCAAUCAAAAUCCUUCACCGAAUCAGCUCAAAAAUAAACCAAAAAUUCCAACGCAGGAUUAAAAAAAAAAUAACUGCAAAAUUAGUGCAAAUCCUUCAAUCGAGGAUCGAACUAAACGAAUAAGAGAUCGAAAUUACCAUUUAUCAGGCUUGAAUCCCUUGGAGAGCAUCCCUGACAUCUUCGACUUGGCAUGCAUCGUGCUCUCUUCGAAUUCGAUCGAUUCGGGGUGGAACUAUCGGCUAGGAAGGAGAAGAGCUAGGGUUUGGGUAAUCGACUCGAACUCUCCUCGAUGUUUUUAAUGCUCGAUUGAGAUCUCGAUCGGGAUAAGAAGAGGAGAGAGAGAGAGAGAGAGAGAGAGAGAGCAGUGAAUUUCGUGUUGGGCGAUUCGAUGCACCGCGACGACUCUUUGGCUUCCUUCCAACGAGAAGGAAAAAAAUUUUGGCACAAAAUGACGAAGCUGUCCUCAGCGGAAAAAGCAGAGCGGCGGCCCUUUGUUUCUGUACUUGGCUUGCGAUACGCGUCAUCAACUGCCAGAGUUUUUCCUUUUCUGUUUUGUUCAGAGAUCUCGUUAGUAUUUUUUUUUAACUAGUGGAGAAAAACGAUCCUGACCAUAACAGGAGUUGUACAUUUUGUGCUCAGUAUAUUUACCAAACUUUAAUUUGAUCUUUAGUUCUAUGUUUAAAUCUCGUCAUACAUUAAAUUACAUAGUUUUUAAAAUUUUAGAUUAUUAACGUUAAGAGUUUCAAUGGAGCAGAGAAUUAAUAGAUAUAAUAAUAUAAACAAAUCUAAAAGGUUUACGUACGGGCGGGUAAUUUGGGAUUUUAACACAAAAAAAAGAAGGGGGCAAUUUCGGGAAGAGGAAGAUCGGACGGGUUUAUGAACGCCCCUUGCCCGCGUGCCCUAUUAUCGUGUGGGCCCAGUAGCCCGCAGCGACUCAUUCUGGGCCGUUACACAUGUACGCGCACAUAAGGGAGAGCUGUACCGUCUCCAUACACGAUCCAACGAGAGAUCCUCGUCAAAAAAGGCAACUUAAUUAAGAUCUCUCUCUCUUCUAAAGAUGAAAAAGAGAUAUCCGGUCGGUAAGAAAAAUAAAAUAACUUCACGGACCAAAUUGAAUAAAGAGGUAAUUAAUGAAUAGCAAAGUGGAAAUUUAUUAAAAGUAACGAGUGAAAGUUGAGUAUAUGCAUAGACAUUAGCGCAAUUGAAGUAACCGUGUGGUUGGAGGGAAAGUAACGAAGUGUGUUGCCCCUUCACAAGUUUCUAUAGGAGGAAUUUGAUUAUGAUAAAAGUAAUUUAUGCGCUGUGUAGUUCAGCAAAAAAAAAAAAAAAAAACCCAUUUGGAUCUCAUGAAACAGUAUAUUACUAUGUAGUUACCCGCGUUACGAAGUAGUAUGGUUAAAAUAAAAUUUAUAAAAAUAAAUAUCAGUUUAGUAUAAAAAAUAAUAUAAUAUAGUCUAUAUUAUAGACAAAUACUUAUUUUAACAAAAAAUAUAUGAAAAAGAAUCAAUCAUUCCAACAAUUAUUCAUUUGCUCAAAAGUAUCGCUAUCAUGCAAAUAGAUGAUUAAAUUAUUUUUAUAAACAAUAAUAAAAAAUUCAUAUUGUAAUUAAUAUGACUAAAGAAAGGCUCCACAUAAUAGUAAAACAAUUUAAGUUAUAUAUAUAUAUAUAUGAUAUUAUAUAUAUAUAUAGAGUGGGCUGGUAUGCUUCGUAGCACGGAGGCCUCCGUAUUUACCACUUUGUUUUCGGAUGUUCGGACUUUCGGAAUUACAUCGGCUCCGUUAGAGUUGAUCUAGAGUAUUUAAAGUACCAAGAAAUUAAAUUUUGCGAUUUUUCGAUAUCAUUUGCCUAGUGAUCGAAGGGGCUCAAAAUCAAUAAUUUUAACGGCCGUGGUGAGCCGGUUGCAAGUUUAACGGUGUAGAAAUAUCCAAAUCACGUGAAAUUUUGGUAGAAAAUUCUUUAUACCAUAUAAAACAAGAUCAAUAACUUUGAUCUAAAAUUUUAAUGUCAUAUCAUCAUAUUUUGUGAGAUUUUUAUUUUCAGCCGUUGAUUUUGAGCCACUUCGAUCACUAGGCAAAUGAUAUCGAAAAAUCGCAAAAUUUAUUUUCUAGAUACUUCAAAUACUCUAGAUCAAGUCUAACGGAGCCGAUCGUCGAUUUGAAAGUGCCAACAUCGAAAACAAAGUGGAAGCACGGAGCGCUCCGUGCUUCCGAAAGCAUCCCAGACGCACUCUAUAUAUAUAUAUAUAUAGUUGAGUUGGAAUGCUAUCGGUAGCAAACGGGCUCCGUUGCCAUCCAUUUGUUUUCGACGAUGGAGCUUUCAAAUCGACGAUCGGCACCGUUAAACAUGAUCUAUAUCACUUGAAGUAUUUAUAAAUUAAAUUUCAAAUCUUUUCGAUAUCAUUUACCUAAUGAUCAAAGGGUUUCAAAAUUAGUAAUUUUAAUGGUUGAUAUGAGAGGUUUUCUCGUUUAACGGUGUAACGCUAUCCAAAUCAAUUGAAUUUUGAUUAGAAAAUUCUUUAAACUAUUUAGAACAAGAUCUAUAUUCUCAAUCAUGAUUACAAAAUUUCUAUCAUCGCUUUUUAGAGGAUAUUCAUUUUCAGCCAUUCAUUUUUACGCCCACUUGGUGGACAAGAAAACAAUAUCGAAAAAAUGUGAAAUUUGAUUUCUAGAUACUUCAAGUGGUAUAGAUUAUGUUCAACGGUGCCGAUCGUCGAUUUGGAGGCUCCAUCAUCGAAAACAAAUGGGUGGCAACAGAGCCCGUUUGCUACUGAUAGUAUUCCAGCUCAACUCUCUCUCUCUCUAUCUCUCUCUCUCUCUCUCUCUCUCUAUAUAUAUAUAUAUAUAUAUAUAUUACUUUUAAUCAAUUAAUUGACUCCGAAUAUGAAAUACAACAAAGGUCCGAAUUUGCAAAUUUAAGAAAGAGGGUGGAAGAUCAAAAGGUAAAGAAAAUGGGUUAAAAAAAAAACUUUUUAGGCCUUAGUAAAACUAAAGAAAAUGAGAAAAAGUUAAAAAAAAAAAAAAAAUAGGCCUCACUUCUUCUCAAAUUAAAGGAAUGGAUACAUAUAGGAUUUGGUCAUGGAGAUUAAUGCAUAGAUAUAGAUAUAGAUAUAGAUAUAGAUAUGUAUUAUUGAUAACUCGCUAUGUUAAUCAACUUAAUAUUACAUUUCGCACUUGUGUUGAGUCAAUAGAAAAUCUUCAUAUUAAGUUCAUCAAUUAUAAUAAUAUUACAAAAGAUCCGUAACAGUAGUCGCUAAUUGUUGGAAUACAAGCAUGUGAUCAUUUCUUAACAUGUUCUGAUGAACAGUCUAGCAUGCCGCGCCAUGUACUUACCGCUGACUUGACUUCAAUGUAAGGGUUGCGUCUUGAGCCCACCCAUUUUGGAAUUUGACCCAACUGAAGGGUCAAACUUUUUUUUUUGAUCAAGUAACAAUAGGACCCAGGUUAUGAUCCGGGAAGCAGGCCAAGUAUGUUUGGCUACGGUUGCGGCUGCCGUCGAGAUUGUAUUUAUGCACAACGAGAAUAUGUGAUGAGAUUUUUUUUUUUUUUUUUGGAAUGGUUUUAGAAGAAGAUUUUGCUCGUUGGUACAAGUGAUAGUAUAUUGUAUCAAUCGUACAAAUACAAUUAAGAUAUAAUUUUCAUACUCUUACUAAGAGCAAAGAAUUAUAAAGCUUCCAUCAGUAUCUGUAGUCUAACCGAAUAUUCGUUUUAAUAAAGGAAUCUUCGAGCACCACAAAUUGUCCUUAUGAUUUUUAAGCGAGGAUUGUGUUUUAUCAAUCAAUACAUGUGCAAUAUUAUAAGGACCUAUUUAGAUUAGAAUUAUUUUUAUAUAAAUUCAUGCGCUGUUAUAAUAAAUAAUAAAAUUUUUCUAUAAUAUAGUAAUAUAUAUUAUAUAUUAUAUAUAUAUAGUGAAACUCAUGUUUUAAUGCACAAGCUGAAGGAUUCAAUCCAAGUAUAUAGUGACCAAAUUUGAUGCCGUCACUCAGAUAGCCAGAUGUAGGCUGCACAAAAUCGUAUGCCGCGGUUUCUUAGAUCCAGUUCCAAUAAAGAGAAAGUUAUCAUACAGAAAAAAAUUAAAACACAGUAAUAUAAGCACCACGAAUCGUAUCGAAUUUCUCAGACGCCUACCUGCCGAGUCAACGUUCGCGAAACAGAUCCGAGUUGGAACGGAUUGUUGGGCAAUGCAUCUUGUUAUACGCUCUUUCCGAACGAGAGACAGUAAAAGAAGAACAGAAACAGUAGAUGCGCGAGAGCAGACUGCAGAGCGAGAGCGCAUUUCUCUGCGGAAACUGCCUCGCACUCGAUUGAUUAAACGACCGAAAAGAGGCCAAGAGCGAGCAAUUUCAUUCUACCCGUCGUGAUUUCAAAACCCUAGAUCUCUCUCUCACUUCUCUCUCUUCCUCUUCUUCGGAUGCGAAUCUGCCUUGGUCGUCGUUCGUCUCCUCUUCUCCUUCUCGCCCUAGGGUUUUGAUGCUCCGAUGUCCUCAAUGGACGGGCACAACCUUCGUCCUCCGCACCUGCUGAUAGCGAGGGCGCCACGCGAUUUUGCUGCAUUGCGCUCUCGUGGCCUCGAUCGCCCCGCGCGAGCUCGCGUGCCAAUUAAGUCGAGGAAGACCUGCGGCGCUGCACCUGCUCCUGCGCCCGCAUGCGGAGGGGAUCAAGCGUUGCCGCUGCCGCCGCGCCGGUCGACGGCUGGCGGCGCGGCGGACGUGUUCACCUGAACGGCGAGGAUACCGUCUGCGGACGCGGUUCCGAACGGCAGAACGGCCGCCUCGUGGGCGGCUCGGGGGUUGGCGCGAUGGGAGCUCGAUGGGAGCAGUAUGGUGGCCGGAUAGACCCAUCCUCAGCUUACUCGAUAUAGGAGCCUCUGUCGCCUUCUAUGGCCAAUUCGCCAUGAGGGAGGCGGCGAACGAGACGGCGUGAUGGAAGGCCUCUAUCGGUAAGUAUAUCGUGGCGAUGCUAUCUCUUUCUUUGUUUCUUUGCUGUGUAUGUAUCUUUGAAUUACUUGCUGCAAUGUGGGUGUCAAAGAGCAAUUAUUCAUUGUUUUGUUGUUUCCGUGGUAAUUUGAUCAGUAGCUACUUCUGACGUGUUAAUUUCUACGAAGUCUUGUUUGUAACCUUGCUUAUGUCUUGAAUUGUUGGUCACCGACAAUUUGAACCACAUCAGCUUUUAGUCUGGCAUGUAUGAUAAGUGUAUUGUCAAGAUUCAUCAAUAUAAUUUGGUUUGUUUACCUGACACUUAAAAUAGUAAGUAUAAUCAUAGUCGAAGCAUAGCAGUGAAUAUUAGCUGUUCAUUUUGUUUCACUUAUUAUGCUGUGCGACUAUUUUUCAUGUGAUUACUUACUGGCUGUGUUGUGUUACUAGUUUUUAAUUCAGGACAUAAGUUUUUGCUGGGAAUAAGUAUAUCCAUAUCUCUAGUAUUGUUAGGGACGUUUUCACCGUUUGAUUAGCAUGUUUGAUAUCAUAUUGCUAAAGUGAAGUGAAACUACUGCACUUUAUUUUAUUUCUCUAGGAUUUUACAGUUGACAGGACGUGUCACCCUAGUAAUGGAUGUAAGGCCAUAUUAUGCGCUUGACAGGCAUUGUUAGUGUAAAUGCAAAUCUUUAAAUUUAGGGAUUAGGGAUACGAGGAAUGAGAUUUUGGCUUAUAGCAGCUAUGUUAAGUGUCUGCAGCCUCAGGAGAUGUUUAAGGUUAUGGGCUCACCAAUUUGCAAGAAUUAGUUGUGGCUCUCAUUCUUUUUCUCCAAAUUUAUAUAAUUGCACUGCUCGAUUACUUGUUUUUUCUCUUUCAUUUCUAAGGUACUUCAUGUAUUGGUGUUUGGCGUAUGCUAACAGCUGAGUAGAAUAUCUUUUAGGGAAAUUAUGAUAUCAGGUUUACAUAUCACAUAAUAAUGUUGGGUGCAAGAGCUAAUUUUGAUAAUAAUUUUUAAAGUUAAUAAUUGUAAAGCGUCAGUAUGUCUUUGUAUGUUUUCAUGCAAUUGCAGCUAUACUAUAUGCAGAUAUGAAUUUUGGGGUAUUAUUUAUUUGUUUGCUUGCUGUUGCUGUGAAUUUCCACCGUACAUUCCGACUGAAUUGGCCUGCUUUUUUUAUUCUUCACCAUGGUUGCUGGGGAAAAUAUCUGACUCUUGGAAGCACGGUGGCUAAGGUAAGUUCUCCUUGCUGUUUUGGCUAUAUUGUAUUUUAUUAAGUGUUGAGGCUUUUAUAUCUUUCGGAUAAUGGUUUNNNNNNNNNNNNNNNNNNNNNNNNNAAAAAAAAAAAAAAAAAAAAAACAGCAAAAGCUGGGUGGGUCCAUUACAUGGCUACCACCCAGCACAAUCUUCACGUUUUUUUACCACAACAGGACAAAGCUAAACUACCAGCAGCCACGGCGAGGACGCGUGGGUGGGGAAAAGCCGCCGCCGGCAGGCAGCUCAACUUGGCCACUUGGGUUUGAUUUGGGUACAACACCCUGCUCACACCUUUGAAUUUUGGGGGGAUUAAUUAAUUAAUCUGUACCAUUUAUAUCCAAUGAAUGACGCGGAUUAAUGUCCUAACAACCAGCACGGAGUGACGGGGAAUUUGCUUCCCCUUCACUUGACAUUUAUGUGAUAUGCAUCUUCGGUAGUCUUUGUUUAGGCCUACUUUCGAAUUGAUGUUGUUUUUUAUAUUUUUUUUGUUUGUUUUUCUUCUUUUAUUAUACUAAUUUUAUAUGAAAAAUUAAAAACUUAGUAAUACUUUUUAAUUUACUCUCUUUUUAAAAGAUCCNACGGGAGGUGGUACAUGGUUCACCAUCACAGUUCAGUUAUGGCUUAAUGCUGCUGCCAUUUUCGUGAUUCAGCAAAAGCUUCUCUUUUUGAAAAAAGUUUCUCUUUUCUGGGCCGUAGAUUUGAAUUACUCCUUAUUCUCCUUUUUUUUCCAGUGUGAAAAGCCAUCUUUGUAUUCUCACUUGCUAGACUACUAAUAUACAUUCCCUCUCACUAUACUGUCCAUGGUAUAUUCUUUUGUCUGCUUGAUUUUAGCUUCUUAAAAUCCGAUUAUGUACCGUAUCUCCUGCAGAUUUUUUAUGGAUAUAUGUGGAUUUUUGAUAAAACAGGGCCAGGGGAGGGAAAAUUGUGGUAAACCCCAUGACAUGUUCAUGCUUUCACGUCGAUAUAGUUUCUUUCUUUUUAUCAUUUGGUUUAUUUAUCUUUAUUAAUCUUGGAGAAGAGUAAUUGCGCCCAUUGAAUGGAUGGGCUGGGGCCCAGGCAUGGCCUCGGCCCUGAGAGUUCAAAUCAAGCAGAAUCCGGGCCAGUUCUGUGCGAAGAAGGGAGUUGGGCUUGGGCCUGGUCCAACUUGUCCUGCUACAUAAUGGACGAGUUUUCUUUGAACGCCCAGCCUUACCUGGGCCUGAAAUUACAAUGCUGCCCAGGCCUGGGCCGUAUCUUCACAGCUAUGUCCGGAGCAAAAAUGAUGAACGUUCUGUUGUUCACCGGGCCUUGUCUCAAGCCAACCAGGGUUUAUAGGCUGGAAAUGAAAGAAAACAUCAGAAAGGUUCAUAAUUGAGCUCAUUUGGGGGAAAAAAAGAAAAAGAAAAAGAAAGAAAAAAGAAAAGAGUAUAAAUAAAAUUUGAGGGCUGAUUCUUUUCAGCCCUUCGAUCAGAACUUGCUGUUCCGUAAUCCUCAGUAGACGAAGGAAAAUACUAAUCCAAUCCAAGAGUGAAAAACAGGGAACAAAUUUAUAGUCCUGAAUUGUAAUUAAAGGAGUGCCUCCUUGAUCUCGUUUAUUCACAUUUAAUAGAAUAAUAAUAAUAAUAAUAAUAAUAAUAAUUGUCGCAGGCCUGCAGGGUCGGCUGCGAAUCACGCGGUGCCCUAUUGCCACAACUCCACAUCUUGUAUUUAAUCAAUUUCAACGUAGGAAGUAUACAGAAGAACUAAAACUACGGUUGGUGGGCUGCUUGUGAGAGAUUAUUUAGUACAGGACCACCGUCGCACACGAUGAAAUGAUGAAUGAUAUGUUCAUUUUCAUUGUUUGCAGUACAGGUUAAGUGUAAGGUCUAUCUCAAGGGGUCCGUGAAUGUUGCCGUCUAGUUCUUCAGGAUAGCAGGCAUUAAUGCCACAUCUAACAUAUAUAGAAGCCAUUAUUUGUUAGCAGUUCGAUUGGCCCACGACUGUAAACACCAAUGAUGGGCAGACGAGCUGAUACAUUAUCUCAAAUGUUACGGACAGGGAACUGUUUGAGCUUUCAUUGCUUUAAGGUUCUGUUCUUUUCCCACGAUCCCACUGACUGAAGGAUAAUUUUGUAGAAUGACUCUGAUGGAGAAUUUGGCAAGUCACUCUCCUUAGAGUGAGUGCAUGUCCUAUUCUCCCGAAAUUGAUUUGUCCCAUAUUUGGUAGAAAGAACCUGGCCUACAAAAGAAGCUCAUCAAAAGAUCAUGCACAUGUUCAAAUACAUACACCUGAAUCGCCUCCAAAGUAGACCGACUGAGUCGAUUUCGCCAAAUCAGAGCCCACACAGAAGUGUCAUGUCACGAUUAUCUCGGAUCCUAAAACGUGGAUUCAGAAGUCCUUUUCGUUGAGUAGAGCAGUUUCGAGAAGCUAUAGUUGAAUUUUUUUUUUUUUUUAAUAUCAAUUUAAUCAUCUCAAUGGCUUCAUUCAAUGAUUGAAUUAGAACCUUCAAAUGAAAAAUUCUAUUUUGUUUGUUAAAUACCUGAAUUUAGCUUCAGGCAUAGCAUAAAUUUAAUUCAUCACUCAGAAUCAGACCAAGCUUUUUGUUGCACAUGAAAUUGUAAGCACCGUCUUAGCGGAAUUUUGGACGUCAGAUUACAUCACCUCUAUAGAAGACAAGAUUCUUUACCUGUCCAAUUGAGAGAUGCGAGCGUUGCAAGUCCCUAACCUUUUUUGUUUGGCUAUUACUUUUCUAACUUUGUAAUUUAUUUCAAAUAGAUACCGGCCAUUUAAAUUUAUAUUAAGGGUGCGUUUGCUUCGCACUAUCUUUUUAAGAUUUUUAGUAAUGCAAUUGGAAUAAAAAAAUAUGACGGUGUUUGGCUAAAGACACUAAAUAAUCUAGUUGGUAAUAUUAGAUUCACUUGGGAAUGAGAUUCAUCCCAAAUUACUAAUCUCAUUCCCUUGCGGGAGAGUGGGUAUCCUCAUAUUAAUGAAUUGGGUAAUCACAAUAUGUCUAAUCUCUUUCUUUCUUCCUAUCCGCCGACUAGUUAGUAUUAUUAUCCUUUACACUCUAACCUCAUAUCUUUCUCUAAACUUAUCUUUUUUUCUCUAAACUUCAACUCUUUUUCUCUCUCUAAACUAAGCUCUCUCUCCCCCUCUUUUUCUAAAAUUUCAACUCCCUUACUCCCUCUAAUCUCGAUUCUAUUUCUCUUCCUAUUAUUUAAUUAUGCUCUCUCUCUCUAACCUAUAUUUUCUCUCCAUUUUUUCUAAAAAGAUGUUGAAAUUUUUUGUAGCAUUAUCUAAAAUUAAUUAAAUAAAUAAAUAAAUAAAUUAUAUAUUUUAUGUAAACUUAAAUAACAUGACUAAAUAAUAUGACCGUGCGAACCAAACACAUGAAUGCCACAUUCUUAGUAAUAGGAUGAAUAGGAAUAAGAUUCUCGGAUAUCUUUUUACUCCUAGUAAUCUUUCAUAGUGCGAACCAAACNNNNNNNNNNNNNNNNNNNNNNNNNNNNNNNNNNNNNNNNNNNNNNNNNNNNNNNNNNNNNNNNNNNNNNNNNNNNNNNNNNNNNNNNNNNNNNNNNNNNNNNNNNNNNNNNNNNNNNNNNNNNNNNNNNNNNNNNNNNNNNNNNNNNNNNNNNNNNNNNNNNNNNNNNNNNNNNNNNNNNNNNNNNNNNNNNNNNNNNNNNNNNNNNNNNNNNNNNNNNNNNNNNNNNNNNNNNNNNNNNNNNNNNNNNNNNNNNNNNNNNNNNNNNNNNAAACAAACUUUUUCAGACCCAGUAACUAAAAAAAUCAUAACACGAUCAACAAACAAAUUACAACAAAUAAAAUUAAUUUAUUUGGAUAACUUAUUAUCCCUAUUCUAAUUAUUUUAACAAAUAAAAUUAUAAUAUUUAAUACAAAAAUGAAAAAAAAAAUCCUAGAUUCUAGAUGAAUUAAUUUUUUAAAAUUUUUAAAAUUUUUUUUAAUAAAAUUCAUUAUCUUUUAGCUAAUAGGUUCACUAGAAUUUUUUUUUUUUUUUUUAAAGAGAGAUAACACGUUACCUGUUUUAUUCAUUAGGUAAGUAAACUUAGCUACAUAAGGUGAUGCAACUAAGGCCUCAUGUAGGCGACGGUUCAGUAGAAAAUUUUGACCGUAUAAUAUAUAGUUGAACGAAAGCAAACUUUAGCUUGGCAUAUCGAAUUAUUUCGAGAUGUGGGAGCCAAAAUCCUGUAGUAUCUUUCUUUCUCCUGUACGUGAAGACUUCGAAUUCCUUCUUGUAGUAAGUAGUUCAAUGAGCUGAACAAAGGCCAACCGAAAUAUUAAAGAGAAGGAGCAGUAAUGCUUUGGGCAACAUAAUUGGUCCCUUAAAAAUGAGGUUGUGAUAAAUCUUCAGACGCGGCAUUUGAGCUAAUUAAGAUAAAAGCUUCUAAAAACCCAAAUCCCUAAUAUGCAUACAAAACUAGCUUGUCCAAAUGCACUUUGGCCUGCCAAUAACAUUAAUUAUUCCCAGCAGUACAUGCCCAUGUCGUUAUGCAGAAUUUUGCUGUAGAAAUUAUAAAUCACAGAGUAAUGAAACAAAACUUAGACAUAACAAAAUGUACAUCACUCAUGUGGGUCUCCUUUCUCUGCUACUGCUUCACCGAUUAAGAAAGAAACGCUAUAAGAAAGAAUCCUACAACAGUUACCAGCAAGAUCACGAAAAUUAAAAGCUAUAAUUAAUUAUUUUUGAGAAAAAGGUAGCACGCUACUUGCUUCAUUCAUAGAGGAUAAAUUAGGCUUACAUAAUGGAGGCAGCCGGGGCCUCCGACGGGAGAAAGAGCGUCAAAAGCCAGAAUAACAAAGACAAGAAACGAAAACGACAAUAGACNUUUUUAAACCGUAUUUUUCAACGAACUUAGAAAUUAAGAUACGAAUUUUAUUCAUAUUUUAUCCGUAUCGAAUUUUUAUCGUAUUCAAAUUAACUAACUAUGGUUUAAAAACAUGAGGUUUAAUUUAGAAAAGGUAAUAAUACAAAGAUGGAAUAUUGGAGGAUAAGAAUGAAGGAAGGUGGGAUAUUCUAAAUUUAAAAAAAUAACAUGUUAUGAGGAUGAAAAUUUACUAAAAUACCCUCAUUGCAAACUCCUUGUAAUAAAAAAUUUUUUGCCCUUAUUAAAGUGGUGACCGGUACCUAUACCCCGAAGUAUCGGUCACCCUUUUUUAAUAGAUCUAUCGUUACCGUCCAUUUAAAGAAUUUUAACGGUUGAGAUUUGUUCGGUGCAUAGAAGCAUUGCUCUUAUAUUAAUUUUGAUAUAAUUGGUCACGUCAACUAUAAUAAAAUCUUUUCUUGCUCGUAUAGUUUAUGGUCAUAAUCCGGUAGCCCACAAUUAAUUUCAGUAUUAAAUUUUUUUAUAUAUUUUCCGAAAGAGUCUAUUAGCACUUCCGACUCAGAUGCUAGGGAUGUUAACGACUAAAAAAAAACAUGCAAUAAUAGACAUCUUACGCAAUAUCGAGAUAGUCGUAGACGUCUAAAAAUUAAGACAAUACAAUACAAUUAAUUCGGCUUGAUAUGAUGGGCGUGCAUAUAGAAAAAAGAAGUUAGAGGCCAAAGUUACAAAAAAAAAAAAAAAAAAAAAAAAAAAAAAAAAAAAGAAGAAAUUUUAAAAGGCUAGGAACGAUGAAUAGAAGUUUGAAAACCAAAAUCAAGGCAAAACAGAAAAGGGGAAAAAAAGGGGGUCAGAAUCCAAUAGUGCAAUUAACGCAAUUACUGAAAAAAGGUUGUUGCAUGUAACUCGUGCUGCGGACGCAUGCCACUCACUAACUUCCACUAAAAACGAGUAUCAUUUGUCGAAUCAACGUACGAUUGCAUCAGAUAUUUCCUUGUUGGACAAUUUUGUAUCUUUUAGACUACAUCACUUCUCCCAAACGUGUUUCUCGUUUCUCGUUUCUCGUUUCUCGUUGGGUGGGGAGCCUUUUUUUAUUUUUAUUUUUUAUUUUGGUUGAUUAAACAGGGAUAUACUAUACCCUGUCUCAAUUGGGUGGGGGAACUCUAGCAACAGCAGCAGGGAAGGAGCGUUGCAGCGUCGCCAUCUACCGUCCUCGUCGACUGCAGUGCUGCCAACUAUACUGAGGCUUGCAGCUUGCUAUAAAAAGCAAGUGUUGGCAAAAGCGUCCGUACAGACGCGCUCUCUUUUUUUUUUUUUUUUUUUUUUUUUUUUUUUUUUUUAGAGAUCUUUUUUUAAAAAAAUAUCCAUUCAAAAACUAUUCACUUAAUUCAAUUAGAAAAAGAUAAACUGUAGCUAUAUGGAUGUUUUGAGAGGGGCGGAAACAAAAAAAAAAAAAAAAAAAAAAAAAAAAAAACAGCAAAAGCUGGGUGUGAGGUCCAUUCACAAUGGCUACCACCAAGCACAUCUUCACGGUUUGAUUACCACACAGACAAAAGCGUAAACUCCAGCAGCCACGGCGAGGGACGCGUGGCAGGUGGGGAAGCGCCGCGGCAGGCAGGCUCAACUUGGCCACUUGGUAUGUGAUUUGGUAUAACACCUGCUUCAUCACCUUUGAAUUUUGGCGAUUAAUGUACAGUCAUCGUUGUAGAUUUAUAGUCCAAUGAUGACGCGGAUUUAAUGUCUAACAACCGCCGGAAGUGACGGGGAAUUGCUUCCCGUUCAGCUUGGCCUUUAUGUUGAUAUGCUCUUCGGUAGUCUUCUGUUAGGCAUCUUCGAAAUUGUGGUUGUUUUUUUAUAGUUUGUUGAUUUCUAGUCUUCUUUUAGUAUACUAAUUUUAUAUGAAAAAUUAAAGACUUAGGUCAAUACUUUUAAUUUAGUCUCUUUUUGAAAUAGAUUCAAAGAUGGUCUUGUUGUAUUUUGCACUUUGGUUAUUAAUCGGAAGCUAAUCAAUUAGUUCGUUGCACUAGUUCUGGUAUAUAAGUCUCUAUUUAAUCAUUAUAGAAUGUAAAAAAUGUAAAGGCCAACAAUAGUGAUAUUGAAGAGAGUAGCUACGAAUCUCGGCCUCUCAACGUUGAAUGGCGUGGCUUUGAAUUAUAGCAGAGUUUUGCUCGAUAUAGGACGCGCAAUUAUUUAUCUGUUGUUUAAGUAAAUUAAAAAUACUAAGAAUUUUCUUUUCUAAAGAGAAUAUUAAGACACAAGUUCUGGAAUUUAGAAUAUCGUGUCUCCUCUCGAAAAGAAAGCGAAAAAGAAUUGUAGAAGAGACACUACAUGAAAUUAUUAAUUUGACAUUAUCCCAUUGUUUAUUGCCAGUUUUAGUCGUGUAUUCGUUGUGGAUAUCAUUAUCAUGGACUAAGAAAUCAAAAGAGAAUAAGAAUAAAAAGCCACUUAGCAACAUAACGAGGUGUUAAUGGUAAAUAUUAUAAACGACGAAGUUGAUUGGCAGAAUCACAGAAUAAUUUCGCUACUCGUUUUUAUAAACGAAUGGCUUAGGGGAAAUAGUUUUGAUGAUGUGCCGGACUCUCAAGACAAAAAUGUUUUCAGGAUUUGUUGACAUGAUGUAACGAAUUACACAUUACGACAAGUUAGCCGAGUAAAAUAUGCACAGGUGAUGUUGCCGAUGUUCAAUGCUAUUGCUUGUAGGAUGAAUGUGUUGUUAUUAUUAUUUUAUUAUUAUCCAAGGCAAAUAGCAUAAUAUUACAGUGCCCAAUGCAGAAAUAGAGAAUUUAAAUGCUCACUAAUAGUACAACUGCUUGAGUGAUUCUAAUCUAAAAGAAUCUAAAACGGAACAUGCGAUCAGAUACUUAUGCUUCUUCUAAGGCUAGAAGCUGCGAAACAGUUCUACUGAAAAUUAUUAUUAAUGCUUAUUCUAAUAGUCUCUCGGAAAAGACCUAACUAAGGUAAAAGCUUAGCUAGCCUGAUUUUUGGAACUCGAGCGAGAGGUAAAAAUUGAGCUUUAAUAAAUAAAAAAAAAAAGAAGGUUUUGGAAAAGUAGAGGGCAUUAAUGUUUGGGCUUUGAAAGUGAAACCUUCACUUAACUAUGCUAUGGGCUGAUGGGAUGCAGAGAGAGAGAGAGAGAGAGAGAGAGAGAGAGAGAGAGAGAGAGAUCAGAAGCUUCCAAAUAAGAAAAAAAAACAAAAGAAGUUUUCGAUGCAUAAUUUUGCUCAUCGGUCGUAUUUAGCACAUUUAACUAAGAAUUUACUUAUUGAUACUCGAAAUCUCAAAUUUAAAAUUAGUUAUUUUACAUUUCUAGCUGAACUUUACUAUCUUUCUUUCUAUCUCACAAAAAUAAAAAAUAAAUUAAUAGUUUAAUUUUGCUCAUUGCUAGCUAAAUUUAUUUUCGAAAAAUAAAUAAAUUGAAUAACUUGCCGUCUUUCUGUCAUACAACAACAACAACAACAACAACAACAACAACAAAAAAAGAAGAAAAAAAAAAAGGUUUUGCUCAAUGCUGCGUAUGGCUCCGGCCGAACAAUAUUGACCCUUAUUAGGAUUAAGACACUGUGAGAGUUCGAUUAUGGAUUCACUGGUUGUAGCGUUGUCCUCUUAUACUGUGUUCUCAUCGGUAUCUGUAAUUAAUUGUUGACAAUAACGAUAUUCUCUUUACAUCACUAUUCAAACAGGUGGUUACAGUAGCAAACAAAAUCAUUUUUGACACCGGAGGCAAAAUUGCUUGGCAAGGGCUUCACAAAUUAUUCGUUUGAGAACGUAGAAUCGAUUUAUUACAUAAGCGUCGGGCUCCCAAAUCUCCGGGCAACUUUAGUGUAAGAUAUAGCUUUAAGUUUUCCUUUCCUCAACUAUUAGUGGGUUCAAAACUUUUUCAGAUCCGAGAUCCAAGUUCGAAUCCUAAUUGAUUUACAUUUUUAACUAAGUUUAUUUCUAAAUGAAAUAAACAAAGCGGAUAGUAUACUUCCUAUCUUUCAAAAAAAAAAAAAAAAAAAAAAAAAAANCAUAAUUGGUCCCUUAAAAAUGAGGUUGUGAUAAAUCUUCAGACGCGGCAUUUGAGCUAAUUAAGAUAAAAGCUUCUAAAAACCCAAAUCCCUAAUAUGCAUACAAAACUAGCACUUUGGCCUGCCAAUAACAUUAAUUAUUCCCAGCAGUACAUGCCCAUGUCGUUAUGCAGAAUUUUGCUGCAGAAAUUAUAAAUCACAAAGUAAUGAAACAAAACUUAGACAUAACAAAAUGUACAUCACUCAUGUGGGUCUCCUUUCUCUGCUACUGCUUCACUGAUUAAGAAAGAAACGCUAUAAGAAAGAAUCCUACAACAGUUACCAGCAAGAUCACAAAAAUUAAAAGCUAUAAUUAAUUAUUAGUUCCCUGCAAUUCAUAUAUAUAUGCAAGCAUUCAAGAUUAGCACCAGCACCUCGGCGGUCGAUUUAGCAAUACAUUCAAUUUGAGAAAACCAUAAAAUUUCUUCCACACAAUAUUUACCAUGGACAUAAUAUAAAAGUUUUUUUUUUUUUGAGAAAAAUGCAGCACGCUACCUGUUUCAUUCAUUCAGACAAUAAAUUUAGCUAUAUAGAGUGAGAUAGCAGGAAUCUCGAGAGAAGAAAAAAAAAUAAAAAUAAAAAAAAAAUUAAAAGGACAAAAUAAAAGAAGAGUAAUAAAAAUAUAAAAAAAAUAAUUACAGCGUCAAAUCAAAUACACGAAAAUAUCACCCAGCAUGAUCCGUUGCCAGUUUCCCAAUGCGUUGUAGUGUCAAAUCAACAUAAUAUAAAAGUUGAUCAUAAAAUUAAGAACUCUGCUGCUAAAAAUAAAAAAUAAAAAAAAUAAAAUCAUGAAAAUUGAUUUGUCAUUCACCUCUACCAUAUUGAAUAUAUAUAUAUAUAUAUCAGAAAAGGCAAUGUUAUUACACCGAGAUAAAGCUCCCGCUAGACAAGCUUGUCUUGUUGGGGAUCAGGGACUCAGGAGUUAAAAGAAAGAAAAGGAGAGCAGUUUACAUAUACGAACUAAUUAAAGAGGAAGGCAAAAUUAAAGAAAAGGAGAUGAACUAAUUAACGCUAAAGUAAAAUUGCCCUCUUACACUGCAUUAUUAUUUACAUAAAGAAGACUAUGCAGUUUUCGUCAGGAAUACUACUAGUGGAAUUUACUAAGCGCUAUAAACCUCAACAAAAGAUCAAAAGAUCAAAAAAAAAAAAAAAAAAAAAAAAAUCUGAAUCUGCUCCGAGCCUUAAAUUUGCUCGAUCCUCUUUAAGUGAACAGCACAAUUCGGUGCAUGGCUGAGCAUAUAUAUAUAUAGAGAGAGAGAGAGAGAGAGAGAGAGAUCAUCACUGCGACUGGGACUGCGACGUGGUCAUCUCACAUGAAAUGGCGGCGACAAUCUUAUCUCGCGUCGCUUGCUCGGAAUCGGGCGGCGACUUCACGACGAAAGUAUGCAGCACGGAGCCAUUGGUGGCCAAUACAUUAGAAUCGACGACACUGACGUUAGACUCGUUGAAAGCCUGGAUGACUCUGGACAGGGGAUGGCCAUCCAAAGGACUGGUGACCCGAACAAUCACCUCAUCGUGCAGCGCUUGGAUCUCGACCGAGGGCGGCUCGAGCUCGGGGGGUCUGGGUCCGAGGCCGGGGUUGUUCCAGCGGGCUCGGUCGGACUCGAACUCUUUGAGCCGGCUCUGGAGCUCUUGGAUGUAGGCAAUGGCGUCGCCCAGCAGGGAGGCCUUGUCCAUCUUGGAGAUGUUGGGCACCACGGCCCGGAGGGCGUAGAACCGCUGGUUCAGCUUCUCCCUCCGCUGCCGCUCCGCUUCCACGUGGUUGAGCGGCUCCUCCCGCCCAUUGGCCGGCUUCCGCCCUCUCUUCCUCGGCCUACGCUCCUCCGCCGCCGCCGCCGCCGCCGCCGUAAUCCUCCGAUCAUCCUUGCUCGACGAUUCCACGUCCGGAAGGUCCGAGUCUAAUGCUAAUGCGCCGCCCGAUUGGGCUGCAGCGGGGGACGCCGCCGCCGCCGCCGAAGUCGCCCCACCACCAUUGCCGAAAUCCACUGUCCCAAGCGGCGGCGGCGGCGGCGGCAGCUGUUGCGGACGCGGACGCGGACGCGGACGCGGCUUUUGAAGCAGGGAUUGGCUGAUGCGAGGGUGCUCCUCCGUGAACAGGUCGGCGGGGCGAGGGAUCGGUCGCUGCAGCGACGGCGACGGCGACGGCGACGGCGACGGCGUUGAGCCCAAUCGGUCGGCGCCGAACCCUCCUAGCACGCUGUUGAGGAACUUGUUAUCAUCCAUCCGGUUCCAAUUCAGCCCGUUAACACCGGCAUGCACCGGCCUCUCUUCAGGCCCGGAGGCGGAGAUCUGGGGCGGGCGACCGAUGCUGGUGAAGUCCAUUCCGAAGAUUCUGGGAAUGGACUCCUUCAAGCGAUUUUCGCCGCGGGAGAACACGGACCGGAUCAUCUUCAUGGCUUCGAAGCCCUCGGGCACACGAUCGAGCGAGCCCAAUUCGACGACCCCGCCGCCGUCGAGGGGCACGAACGCGACGGUGCGGAACCCCGCGGACCUCGCGAGGAACGCCCUGACGCAGAACUCCGAGGAGGAGGAGGACGACGACGUGGCCACGUCCGAGACCCAGAAGGGCUUCCCCGACGCGAGCGCCCUCCCGGGUCCCCCCUCCCCGAGGGGGAAGGAGAAGUACAUGGAGAUCAGGAAGUAGGCCUCGGCGUCGGUCACGCGGUCGAGGCGGAUCGCCGCGUUCUCGUCGCCGCACCCGUACACCGCGUCCAGCUUCUGGAGCACGCGCUUGAUCAUCCGCUGCCGCCGCUCCUCCUCUCUUUCCGCCUCGCCGGCGCGGGCGACGAUGCUGCGGCCGCGGCGGCGCGGCUCGGCGUCGCGGCAGUGGCCGUCGCCCCAGACGAGGAGGGCCUCGCCGGUCCUGGCCCGCGUGGCCUGCCAGAAGAUGGCGUAGGUCCAGGGGCGGCCCGAUGGGCCCUCCACCACCUCCUGCAGCUUCGUCUGGAGCUCCGCGUCCACGUCCCCCGCCACCACGCCCUCCGGGGACACGCGGCACCCCGACAGGUACUCGAACGCGCGGGGCCCCAACACCGCCGCCGCCAUGGCCCGCUCCUCCUCGGACCAUAGCCUCCCCAUCACCAUUAAAGCAACCCUCUUCCUCCUCCCUCCUCCCUCCUCCCUCCUCAAUAGUCAAUAGUUAAUUCCUCCCCCUCCACCACUCACAAUCAAACCCUAAUCCGACCUUCUAACUACGACUGUAUCCGGCGGGGGGUAAUUAUUAAGGAAUAGCUUAAAAGAGGAGACGAAAUGGAAUCGGAGGGGGGCUAGAGUCAUUCGUUUGAGGAUCUCUUUUUCCGCAAGGUGUUACUUGUUAGGGGGCGGGCUAGGGUUUAAUCUCGCCUCCUCCUCCUCCUCCUCCUCUUCCUCCUCUUCCUCCUACUCGCGUUUCGCGUAAAAUUCGUGGAAACGAGGCGAGGCGGAGGAGUGCGUUAGGCGGAACCAAGUCGGCGAGGGCUUGGAUUUAAAUACGCGUGUCAGCACCUCGCUCCUCCUCGAACCACUACAAUACACCGCACCGACCGCCAGUUAUCCUUAGACCCGGUCUACAGACCCCGAGGAGCAUCGAGCGGAAUCAGUAGCUUUUGGAGGCGGUUCGAAAAUGACGUGGUCCACCGGGUACAAACAACACUGUGGCGCUGCGAGCGACUGGCGAGCCGCGUGCUCGCCCACUAGCGUUUACACCGAGCCGAUCCGCGCUGUGGAGUGUGGACCGAAUAUGGUUUUACAUGGGCUUAUUUGGGUCCUACUUCGCAGAUGGGCCCCAGUCCUGUGCGACGGUUACAUAUCACGUUUGUUGGGGUCCCACAGGUCAUUUUCACAAUUUUGAUUCGAGCGCGUUACCCCGUAGAUUUUUGGGCCGCUGCACAUGUUCGUGAGCCGUUGGUGCGCGUUACAUUGUAGAUUCAUGCGGCAUCGUACGCCAGUUGGUGAGCUUGUCUUUAAAAAAAAAAAAAAAAACACAUUGUGCGCAUGCAUAAUAUAAAAUAUAGUUGUGUUGAAAAUUUGGUACUUCUUCUUAAACAUAUUGAGAUUCUGUAACAGAAACAUUGAAUCAAAUUUUUACUAUAAAUCUGUCUCCUCAAAUAUGAUAUAAUUAUAAAAAAAAAUAAAAUAAUAUACGAAUAAAAUAAGAUUUACUAAAUAAAAAAAAAUUAUAUCUGAAUCCUCUUCUGUAACAGAGCAAUGUCAAUCUUUUUAAAUCUAUCGUAUCUGUUUCUCGUCUUUUAUAAACCAAAAAAACUACUCUUUUUUUUUUUUUUUUUUUUUUUUUUUUUUUUCUCCUCCCUUNGCCCGGGGCCCCAACACCGCCGCCGCCAUGGCCCGCUCCUCCUCGGACCAUAGCCUCCCCAUCACCAUUAAAGCAACCCUCUUCCUCCUCCCUCCUCCCUCCUCCCUCGUCAAUAGUCAAUAGUUAAUUCCUCCCCCUCCUCCACCGCUCACAAUCAAACCCUAAUCCGACCUUCUAACUACGACUGUAUCCGGCGGGGGGUAAUUAUUAAGGAAUAGCUUAAAAGAGGAGACGAAAUGGAAUCGGAGGGGGGCUAGAGUCAUUCGUUUGAGGAUCUCUUUUCCCGCAAGGUGUUACUUGUUAGGGGGCGGGCUAGGGUUUAAUCUCGCCUCCUCCUCCUCCUCCUCUUCCUCCUCUUCCUCCUACUCGCGUUUCGCGUAAAAUUCGUGGAAACGAGGCGAGGCGGAGGAGCGCGUUAGGGCGGAACCAAGUCGGCGAGGGCUUGGAUUUAAAUACGCGUGUCAGCACCUCGCUCCUCCUCGAACCACUACAAUACACCGCACCGACCGCCAGUUAUCCUUAGACCCGGUCUACAGACCCCGAGGAGCAUCGAGCGGAAUCAGUAGCUUUUGGAGGCGGUUCGAAAAUGACGUGGUCCACCGGGUACAAACAACAGUGGGGCGCUGCGAGCGACUGGCGAGCCGCGUGCUCGCCCACGAGCGUUUACACCGAGCCGAUCCGCGGUGUGGACCGAAUAUGGUUUUACAUGGGCUUAUUUGGGUCCUACUUCGCAGAUGGGCCCCAGUCCUGUGCGACGGUUAUAUAUCACGUUUGUUGGCGUCCCACAGGUCAUUUUCACAAUUUUGAUUCGAGCGCGUUACGCCGUAGAUUUUUGGGCCGCUGCACAUGUUCGUGAGCCGUUGGUGCGCGUUACAUUGUAGAUUCAUGCGGCAUCGUACGCGAGUUGGUGAGCUUGUCUUUAAAAAAUAAAAAAAAAUAAAAAAAACACAUUGUGCGCAUGCAUAAUAUAAAAUAUAGUUGUGUUGAAAAUUUGGUACUUCUUCUUAAACAUAUUGAGAUUAUGUAACACAAACAUCGAAUCGAAUUUUUACUAUAAAUCUAUCUUCUCAAAUGUGAUACAAUUAUAAAAAAAUAAUAAUAAUAUAUGAAUAAAAUAAGAUUCACUAAAUAAAAAAAAAUUAUAUCUGAAUCUUUUUCUGCAACAGAGCAAUUUCAAUCUUUUUAAAUCUCUCAUAUCUAUUUCUCGUCUUUUAUAAACCUAAAAAACUACUCUCUUUUUCUUUCUUUUUUUUUCUCUCUCUCACAUGCGCCCAUACAUUAGGUGCAUGCAACCAUGGACACGCCCAUUUAGUACGAUCCGCUGAUGACUUCAAGAUACCUCAUCCUACACUCUUGUUGGAGAACCUCAACCGGGGGAUAGCAACUUCAAGCUUUAACCAUUUAUAAAUAAUUUAUAUAUAAUGCUAGCUCCACUAAAACAUACCUCCAAAUCUAGUAUAACUAUAAUUCUUACUCUAAUUAAUAUUUAAAUUUAUAUUAAUUUAUUUCUGAUAAAUUUAAAUAUUUAUUCUAUUUUAUUUAGAAAUAGACUACAAAUUUUAUCAAAUUGUAAUAAAUUGUCAUUUUCAAUCCGUUUGAGAAUUUUACUCGAUAUAUAUAUAUAUAUAUUAUACGAUUGCAAAUCAAUUGACUGGGAGCUGAUCUAUUUUUUACUAACUUUUUAUGUCGUAAGCUGAUAACUAAACUAAUCGAGACAAUAGUAAUUAAAUGGUUAGUUUACAAACAAAAAUAAAAUUUGACUCGUAUUAAUCUAUGCACUUUUAAAAGCCUCCAGAUUCACUUUAUUAAUUUUUUAAGGGAAAACUUCAAAAACCCUCUCUGUGGUUUCACAUUUUUUCAUUUUAGUACCCUGUGGUUUAAAGUUUAUCAAGUUAGUACCCUGUGGUUUCUCACUUUAUCACUUUAGUACCCUGUGGUUUCACACUUUAUCACUUUAGUACCCUGUGAUUUAAAAAACCACAGGGUACUAACUUGAUACAAAUUAAAACCACAGGGUACUAAAGUGAUAAAGUGAGAAACCACAGGGUACUAACUUGAUACACUUUAAACCACAGGGUACUAAAGUGAUGAAGUAAGAAACCACAGGGUACUAACUUGAUACAUUUUAAACCACAGGGUACUAAAGUGAGAAAAAUUGAAACCAUAAGGGGGGUUUUUGAAGUUUUCCCAUUUUUUAAUUUAGCAGUGCUGUUCCUCCACAUAUAUUUGGAUGAUGGUCUCAAGUGGAGGGCGUGUGUUAUCUUUCCAAUUCAUCUUCUAGAAAUUAUAGAAAAAUCUCUCUUCCUCAAAGCAAAUCUCACAAAAAGCCCACUACUUUGACAGUUUGCGCUGACAAAUAGUCUAGAUGAGCCACUUUUUCUCUGAUCCCUAUAAAAACCAACCAAACCAAGAAAAUAAAUAAAUAAAUAUUCAACAAAUUAUGGUUUGACUUUAAUUUGGUAGCAAAAGUUAGAAGCCCCCAUUUCUUUUCGGUUGAAGUUUUCAUAAUUACAGCUGGGAUGAAACCUCAAUUUUUAGAUGUUGAUUUACGUACGCUAGGGUUCUAAUUGCACGAAUGACACAUACCAAAUUGUGCAGUAAUGCUUUUAUCGAUUAGGAACUUUGACGAAUCAAUGCACUUUCCGAAUACUCAUAAUUUAUUACAGUAGGUAUGGACUAAAAGAAACCCACACAAGGAAGAGAUUUUUAUUAAUCGGUGAGUUAAUUAUUAUUAUUAUGAAAAAGAUAGCAAGCUAUAUAUAUAACCGUUUCGCUUAUUUUUUAAAAAAGAUCUCAGCUAAUUAAAUUGCGAAAUAAUUAGUUUUGAACUUGAAGUCUCAAGUACCAACAACUAAAUUCGUAGUCAACAGUGCGGUCCCAAGCAUGAUCAAUAAUUAAAUAUUAUUUUUAGUUCGCAUCAAAACUUCACCUAUAGUUAUGAUUAGUUCUAUCCUAAGUUUGUUUCUCUUUUUGCAUAAUUUAAGUCCCUAUUUACUCCCAAUCCUUAUAUGAAAAGGCCCAAAAUAUUCUUUUAUCACCCGUAAGGACGCAAAUGGACGUGGGUUGGUAGCGCUUUUGCCCUAAUUUGCUCGGGAUGGGAUGGUAAUUAAGUGAGGGUCAAAAAUAAAAAUAUAAUAAUAUGUUCCGAUUUCGUCUCAAUCCUGCUAAGAAAAUGGAGCGGAAGAGGCGGGAACCUUUGCUUGCUUUAAUCAACCUUAAUUUGUCAAAGAUUUAUAUAUUCCGGUCUCCCCCAAUUUUGAAAUUAAGAAGCGAUAAAUAAAAAUAAAACACAGGAUAUAUAAAAAGAUAUAUAUCCCGAAUAUGCUCGGAGCAACCAAGAAAUAGGGCAGAAGGUGGUCCGUUUGCAGUCCCAUUCGCUCUCUUGAGUUUCUCUAAUUAAGAAACGAAAAUUAAUAUAUUUGAACGAGAGAGAGCAGAUGGGGCCGAGUGGCCCAGAUUGGAAUUGUGGUCAUUGAUAACACCGUCCUUAAAGGGCGCAUAGAGUUCAUUAAUUACUGCAACUGGACAUGAACAGGUCCCAGUAUUUCUCCUCCUAGGUUUUCUGGUGGUUUCUGCUGCGGCUCACGAAUUUGAUUGGCGCAGAAAUAAUUAGCCAGGAAUUCUUUCUUUCUUUCUUUCUUGCUUGCUUGCUUGCUUGCUCGUUCGCUGCCGAUCGAUAUAUUCUGUUCGAUCAGUCGAGGGAUUGUCUUUCGCGUUGGGAAUUGGGCACUCGCACUCUCGCAGUGGUGACUAGUGAAAGCGAGAGCUCCUACGUACAUUGUUGUAUCUUUCAGCGCACGUGAACGGUUCCCUCUGUUCCCCGAGCUUGCACCCACACCCCCACACCAUUAAUUAUAAUCAAUUGUACCUAAGUGUCCUUAAAUUCGUAUGCGGAGCAAUGAAAUAAAUAUAAUAAUAAUAUACACAAUGUUGUUUAGAUAAUUACUCUGAAAUUUUUAUUUUUUAUUUUUACAUUUAGUGCAGGCACAUUCUAUUUAUAGGACCCCUUAAAGAUCGAUCAUUCUAUUUGUUCGCGUGGGUGCAAAGGGAGGCACCUUGUACAUUUAUUAAAAAUUAGGUACAAAUUAUUUUAAUACUCUUUCGUCUAAGAGUUAGUAUUUUCUUCCUAAAUUAAUAAAAUAUUAUAAAAUUUAUUUUUUUUAGAUAGAAAAAAUAUGCAUUGAUUUUGUACUACGUAUAUAUUUUUUUUUAUAUAUAUGUGGAUGUAUCGGAGACGUUACUGCAGCGCGCUCGCAUCUCCGUCCGUUAACACCAAGGUUGUUGUGCCUUUAUAUAGUUCAAAAAGUUUAUUGUGUCCCACUUACACCACAUCAUUAAUAAAUUGUCAAUUAUAUUUUUAUUUUUGAAAAAAAAUAUAAUAAGAUAUUUUUAUAAUGAUUAUGAUGAAAUCUGUAAAUUUAAAAUAUAUAUAAUCUAAUUAGUUGUGAAUGCUACAUCACACUCUAGAUUAAUUUUUUCUACCUAGGCACAGGCCAAAUGGUGGGUCCCACUCGAGAAAUCUUGGGAAUGUCACUAUCCUAUUGUCUAGUAAUUAAUCAUUUGGUUCCGAUUGUAAAACACACGGUACUCAGCUACUUAAUCUUCUCUCCACGUCAAGCGCCCCGUCCAAUGAAAAAAAUUUACUGUAUUAUACUUACACUAUGUUACCGAAAAUAAAUCAAUCAUAUUUUUCUUCUUGAAAAAAAAAUAUAAUAAAAAUAUUAUUUUAUUAAUUAUAAUAGUACGGGUGAAUCUAAGGAUAUAAUUUUAUUGGUUAGAGAUGUCACGUCAAUAAUAUAAUCGGUGCACUUUUUUAGGACCGUUUGGUUGCAUGUGAUUACAGCUGCAAUGCAAUUGUAAUCGCAUAGAAAUACAAAUUUAGUAUUUGUUUUAUAUAUUUAACUCCAACUAUUGUAAUAAAAACUGUAAGAAGAGGCCUCAUUGCAACAGUUAAAACUACGCUCAAAUUAGCCGCAAUUCCAACUGCAAUAGUUAGAGAAAACAACUUUAAACUUAUCUUCUUAAUUAUUUUUUAAAUAAUUUUUUUUUUAUAUUGGUAGUAAUCUUACCAUCAUAUAUAUAAAAUAAUAAGUUUUUAAAAUUUCUCAACUGCAUGCAACCAGAUAAAUUAUUUAUAGUUACUACAUCUAACUAAAAAGGAUAUAUAUAGUUAUAACUGUUAAAUUUUUAACUGCAUUUAUUUUCAACUAUACUGUAUUUAUUAUUAUAUCUAAACAAAUGAUCAUAGAUUUUUGGUUUUCCAUCAAGGGUGACGAAAAUGGCCUGUUUAAUUACCUUUCCCUUUUUUCAGUUCUAUUUUUUUAACUUGUGCGCUAUUUUCUUUUUUGUUUUUUUUAUUUGUUUAUUUUUUUUGUGCGGUAUAAUAAUUCUAGGAAUCACGAGAGUGGUCGCGGAUGUUGGCUCACGCUCCUACCUAUUCUUUCACGUGAAAUCGCUGGCGCGUAAGUAGCUCAAUUUUCAUCGCCAUUUUCUACUCCUCCAGGCUCCAGCCGAGCCGAGCCGAGCCGAGCCGAGCCGAUCGAAGAAUCAAAAAUCGUCUACAUAUGUUUCACAAUUUUUUUAUUUUUAUUUUCAUUUUUGUUGGCAUUCGGAAAAGAGUGCCGAACAUCUUGCGAAGCUUUUAUAGCUUGGACCAUGUGUGUGGAUGGGGUUUACGUAAACGACCUUGUUGAUGAUCUCUAUUGGUUGGAGAAACUAUCUACAUGGUUCAGAGUUUUUUAAGAAGGGAAAACUUCAAAAAAAACACUUCAUGUGGUUUCGUGCUUUUUUAUUUUAGUACAUUAUGAUUUAAAGUGUAUCAAAUUAGAACCCUGUGAUUUCGUACUUUCUCAUUUUAGUAUCCUGUGGUUUAAAGUGUAUCAAGUUAAUACUUUGUGAUUUUAUUUUUGUAUCAAGUUAGUAUCUUGUGGUUUUAUUUUUGUAUCAAGUUAGUACCAUGUGGUUUAAAUACCAUGUGAUUUUUAAACCACAGAGUACUAAAGUGAGAAAGCGUGAAACCACAGGAUACUAACUUGAUACACUUUAAACUACAGGGUACUAAAGUGAAAAAAUACAAAACCACAGGGUACUAACUUAAUAUACUUUAAACUAUAGGGUACUAAAGUGAAAAAAUACAAAACUAUAGGGUACUAAUUUGAUACACUUUAAAUCACAGAAUAUUAAAGUAAAAAAAGUGAAACCACGAGAAAAAUAUUUGAAGUUUUUUUUUUCAAGAAUAGAAGAAAAAAAAAAAGUAUUAAAAGGAAAAGCGUGGCUCGACGCUAUGAAUGGAAGGUUCGGCGGACUCAGGGAAAGCACGUGAGGCAACACGUGAGGACAGCGUGGGCAGAUUAAGUCAACGUGAUCCGCAUUGACCUUUAUUGGUAACAAACUUCCUAAUUUAUUACGACCCGAAGAAGCACCACGGAACUGUUUAAUGAGCUGAUUAAUUGGGGCGGGUUAUACGUGGCGUUCCCCAAGGGGCGAUUUUUUUGAGCUCUAAAUUGGAUCUUCAAAAAAAAAAAACAAAAACAAAAAAAAAAACUCUCUAGUUCCUUGCUGGAUUGUAAAUUCUAUUUUUUAAAAAAAUUUUAAAUGCUUAAUUUCUCGUAUAGGAUUUAUUCCGCGUUGUUGGAGUGCUUAAAUAAAUGCCAUCUUAAAAAAGACAGAUAUUUGAAAAUACAAUGGCGAUUAUCAAUUGAAUCUUGGCAAUAAUGAAAAAUCCUGAGAUUUAAAAGUCAAAGAUUUAAUAGUUGUCUCAAAUAGAGAAAUUACUUAAAAAAACCAAGCUAGUGAACAAAGACAAAUUCUACAACUUGACGAUGUCCUAGAAACACUCCCCAAUGGCUCCACACUUGCUAACAGCGAAAUUCGUCACUCGGUUGUCAGAUUAUUUGAAUAAUAUUAUAAUUUUUUCACGAAAUUACUCUUCAUAUAUUGCUAAAUACGUUGGCAAAUAAAUGCCGCAUGUUGCGUGUACGAGCUAAUUAGAAGUUAUUUUAUUUAUUAUACAUUAUUACAAGGCUAACAUAUACAGAGAUAAUAUUGUAAAAAAUUAAAAUAUUCUUCUAUUUCUCUUUUAGGUGUUCUGAAGGAGAGAGGGGAUGAUGAUUCAAAAAACGACAAAAUCGGUCGUACGGACAGGCGAAGCAUGUGAAAGGCGUGAGUGUGUAAGAGUUCCUUACCACCACGACACUGCCGUGAAUCCUAUCAAUGAACUUUAUAUGGAAGCGUCCUUUGACACAUAAAUGGUAAAUUAUACCAGUACAUCUAUUUUAAUUAGAUGUAUAAAUUAUACACCUUAGACUCUAAACAAGAUCCAGAUUUACUCACUUAUUUAUUUUUUUAAUACUAAAAAAAUUAAAAAUUUUGGAUCAUGGAGUAUAAGAUGUAUACCUUAUAAUAAAUUAUGCAUAAAGCAUUUUUCUAAAAAUAUAAUAAGAGGAAAAAAAAAGAAGAACAUGAUGGGUUCAUUUAUUAAGGGCUAAAGUGCAGUGCUUCCAUGAGUUAAAAGUAUUGUGUCACUCCACGAGGGAGUGCAUAUAUGCCUCCCUUGUGGAACUAUUGCCUUGUCAGGUCUCCUUUGGGGGGGGGGGGNUCUUAUUUCUCAAUAUGUCAAAAGUUACAAAUUUACCAUUAUUCUUAUUCUCAUAUUUUGGCAGCUGGUUCUACACGUGUAAUAGACUAUUCAUUUAUUAUUGAUAAAUAUUACUCUGUUGAGGCACUAACAAUGAUAUGACGUCCUAAAUUUAAUCCUAUAGCAGAUAAGGAUUAUUGACAGCCAUAUUCUGAUUAUAUCUUAAUUCCAAACGAGUCUAUGCGGAGGUCAAAGAAGAGUUGUCUAAAAUCAGUAUGGAUUCGUAACGAUAUGGACAUAAGAGAGAAGAAAGCGGAUUAUAUAUAUGUGAAAUGUGCAAACAGAAAGAAUGUAAUAGGCGAAAAUGCCUUAGCCGAAAAAAAUAAGGCUAGAUUAGAGAAACGGAAGAUGAGAGAGAAAAAAAUAAUCUCCCACCCACUAAACAUAUUAACCUAUAUAAAAGUUAUUAACUUUUUUUUUUUCUAAUCUAUAAAAAAUAAGACUAGAUUAAGAAUAUUUUUUAAAAGAAGGCUAGAUAGAAAAAAAAUAAAUAAAUAAAAAUUCUCUAAAGAGGCUAGAGAUGGCAAUAGUUCUCACUCGUGAUCAUUUUUAGAUGGACCCCUAAAAUUAAAUGUAGGGUCAUUGCUUGUUUUUGGGUCCAAUUUUCGGACGAUUUGCCCCGACUAAGGAAUCUCCGUUUGCGUCCCCACUUUCAAAUGAAACUUGUCUUAGCCAGCCUUUUAUUUUCCUGUCCGGCUGUCCCCACCGCACCCCACCCCACUCAUCCUGAUUAUGUUAACGCGGAUGGAUAAGCCCGAAGGGAGGCGACAAAGAUGACGAACGGUGAGAGAGGUUUAAAUGAAAGGGCAUGCCUUGCUUUAUUUUUAUUUUUAUUUUUAUUUUUAUUUGUUUAUUUAUUUUUGGGCGUGAACUGUGAUGACGCCUGUGGACUUCACACGCCCAUCCUGUCUGUUCUCACUUAUAGCAGAAUUUCGGAACUAGAAAGCUUAGCCUAUCUGAAUUCUGAAACCCAUGAUGUAGACCGAAUAUGAAUGACUCUUUUGCGCUUUUCCUUUUGUUUCAUGUACAUUUCACUUCUCAAUGUGAAAAAUCCGAGACAAUCCUGCUUUCUCUAUACUUUUCAAUUUUGGAAAUUUAUCUCUUCAUAAUUAGUACUCUAAUUUUGGGAUUUCA
RNAcentral lists this long non-coding RNA (40163 nucleotides) under Ananas comosus (pineapple). RNAcentral's name for it is "long non-coding RNA (ACOM_LNC025026)". The record is from RNAcentral. Lineage: Eukaryota; Viridiplantae; Streptophyta; Magnoliopsida; Poales; Bromeliaceae.